UACGGAGGGGGCUAGCGUUGUUCGGAAUUACUGGGCGUAAAGCGCACGUAGGCGGCUUUGUAAGUUAGAGGUGAAAGCCCGGAGCUCAACUCCGGAAUUGCCUUUGAUACUGCAUGGCUUGAAUCCGGGAGAGGUGAGUGGAAUUCCGAGUGUAGAGGUGAAAUUCGUAGAUAUUCGGAAGAACACCAGUGGCGAAGGCGGCUCACUGGACCGGCAUUGACGCUGAGGUGCGAAAGCGUGGGGAGCAAACAGG
This 253-nucleotide ribosomal RNA is filed under the name uncultured bacterium. RNAcentral's name for it is "partial 16S ribosomal RNA". It matches the Rfam family "Bacterial small subunit ribosomal RNA", at positions 524 to 776 of the family's 1533-position model. The record is from RNAcentral.